This is a ribosomal RNA of 437 nucleotides. It matches the Rfam family "Bacterial small subunit ribosomal RNA", at positions 341 to 792 of the family's 1533-position model.
ACGGGAGGCAGCAGUGGGGAAUAUUGGGCAAUGGGCGAAAGCCUGACCCAGCAACGCCGCGUGAAGGAAGAAGGUCUUCGGAUUGUAAACUUCUUUUAUGAGGGACGAAGGACGUGACGGUACCUCAUGAAUAAGCCACGGCUAACUACGUGCCAGCAGCCGCGGUAAUACGUAGGUGGCAAGCGUUAUCCGGAUUUACUGGGUGUAAAGGGCGCGUAGGCGGGGAUGCAAGUCAGAUGUGAAAUCUAUGGGCUUAACUCAUAAACUGCAUUUGAAACUGUAUCUCUUGAGUGUCGGAGAGGUAGAUGGAAUUCCUUGUGUAGCGGUGAAAUGCGUAGAUAUAAGGAGGAACACCAGUGGCGAAAGCGACUUACUGGCCUGCAACUGACACUGAGGCACGAAAGCGUGGGGAGCAAACAGGAUUAGAUACCCUGGUA